This 72-nucleotide transfer RNA is filed under the name Camelus bactrianus (Bactrian camel). It matches the Rfam family "tRNA". Rfam says of the family: Transfer RNA (tRNA) molecules are approximately 80 nucleotides in length. Their secondary structure includes four short double-helical elements and three loops (D, anti-codon, and T loops). Further hydrogen bonds mediate the characteristic L-shaped molecular structure. tRNAs have two regions of fundamental functional importance: the anti-codon, which is responsible for specific mRNA codon recognition, and the 3' end, to which the tRNAs corresponding amino acid is attached (by aminoacyl-tRNA synthetases). tRNAs cope with the degeneracy of the genetic code in two manners: having more than one tRNA (with a specific anti-codon) for a particular amino acid; and 'wobble' base-pairing, i.e. permitting non-standard base-pairing at the 3rd anti-codon position. Lineage: Eukaryota; Metazoa; Chordata; Mammalia; Artiodactyla; Camelidae. RNAcentral also lists the same sequence under 2 other names. The record is from Rfam by way of RNAcentral.
GGUGGGGAGGAUCAGUGGUCGAGCACAUGCCUGGCAUGCACAAGGUCCUGGGUUCAAUCCCCAGUACCUCCA